GUGUCAGCCGCCGCGGUAAGACGGAGGGGGCAAGCGUUGUCCGGAAUUACUGGGCGUAAAGCGCUCGUAGGCGGUCGCAUACGGCGGUGGUGAAAGCUCCCGGCUCAACUGGGAGAGGCCCGCCGCAACGGUGCGACUCGAGGGUGGUAGAGGCAGAUGGAAUUCCUGGUGUAGCGGUGAAAUGCGUAGAGAUCAGGAGGAACACCAAUGGCGAAGGCAGUCUGCUGGGCCACACCUGACGCUGAGGAGCGAAAGCCAGGGGAGCGAACGGGAUUAGAUACCCCCGUAGUCC
RNAcentral lists this ribosomal RNA (292 nucleotides) under uncultured bacterium. RNAcentral describes it as "partial 16S ribosomal RNA". It matches the Rfam family "Bacterial small subunit ribosomal RNA", at positions 505 to 796 of the family's 1533-position model. The record is from RNAcentral.